AGUUACUGAGCAGAGAUGGACACAUGUAGGGAGGAGGUAUCUUUGUGUGUGAUGCAGUCUUCCAAAAAUGCCCAAGGCUCCUAAAAGCCACCGGGCCAGGAGAUUACCCAUUACCUGGCAGAUCCAGAUGGCUCUGAGUCAGGGCAACGUUGAAGGAGGGGGAAGAUGCAUUUUCCUGGCCAGCUACAAGGCUGAGAAAUGACUGAGGAGCCCCCUAAUGCCAUUGCAGGGCCUUGAGCGUGUUAACCAGCACCUGGCAAUCGGAUUAGGGACUGCAAAUUCAAUUACAGAGCCCAGGCUCAUGCAUUUGAGCAAUUACUGCUGCCUCCGGUCGAGUCACAUGAAUCUUGGAAGCAAGUCAUGUGGAAGAACAUGAAGGGCUGGGAAACCAGUGAUACCACUGCGCAUGUAGCAUCACCCACUGGGAGUGAAGCAGUGCAAGAAUUAUAAUGACUAGUGAGCAUG
Podarcis raffonei (Aeolian wall lizard) is the source of this 465-nucleotide long non-coding RNA. RefSeq lists it as uncharacterized. NCBI's taxonomy places the organism in Eukaryota, Metazoa, Chordata, Lepidosauria, Squamata, Lacertidae. The transcript is spliced from 2 exons. The record is from RefSeq and is a predicted model, not a curated record.